UAUAUGGAAUUUACACUUAUUUGGAAUAUUUUCAAGCUGUGGAUGCUUGAAUCCGUGGAUAAAAAAUCCAUGGAUAAAGAGGGACGACUGUAUCGCUGUGAUUCCACUUUAACUGCAGUGGCUGCAUCUUGCAAAAUCCUUGGACUUAUGUUUGAGUGAGGUACUAGAGCUCCCUAACAGAAUUGUAAAUAUGGAACUACAAAUCUCAGGAUUUGACAGUGACUAAAAGUGCUGAUAUCAAACUGCUGCAGUUGUUCGAUGUGAAAAAGAUCCUAGUGUCUAAAUCUUCCUUCUAGAAGUUAGGUCCUAUGAAUAAAACAGGACAUGCCUAGUGAACCCCAGUCCUUAGCACUUGUGUCAAUCCCUUUUCAUAUUGUAGACAUAUUUUUUGUGGAGUGGGGACAUGCAAAAACAACCCUUGGGAUGCCUAUGGUCCAUGGGAUGCAUUUUCCCUCCUUCCUGUUUCAGGUUAAUGACAAAAAGAUUGGUUUCAAAUUUUAGACAGUACAUCUGUCUCCGGACACGAACUGUGUUAUCUGAUCAUGUUUUCUUUUUGGAACCCAUUAACUUAUUAAUACUGUGUUUUCCUUUCCUUUUUGCUUUGUUUUUGCUUUUCUAUUGAGUUUUGUAGCGCAAGGAUAUUGAAAUACAGCAGCCGUUCUUUCCGAGUCGGAGGUGUAAUUGUGCUUAAAGCAGAACAGGCCAGCGGUUGUGGGUCGACAUCUUGUCUGUUGCGGUGCCAAGAACGGCACAUUUCUCGUAACCAGGGCGCCACAUUCAAUGGGGCGUAUUUGUAAUUCUUUGUUGACUCUUGGGCAUUGUUUAUGGAGCCUUCUGGGUCACUUUGUCCCAAAUGCCUCCCUCCAUCUUCAAUGUUGCAGAGCCGCCUUUGUUCUUCCCGUUCUGUUUUUUCCAGAAUAUUUGAAAGGAAAUUAGUUGCCACUGUAUUUACAAUUCCCAAAUGGCAUGGAAAGUCAAAGACACUGACGUCUUGUAGCAUAUUGUCUGGCAGAAGAUGGAUGGGGACCUUUAUUUACAGAGUUUCUUGCACACACAUAGUAUAUUUACUCCAAGUACAUGUGGGAUUAAUAAUGCUGUUAGCUAACUGGAGUAAUUGGCCACAAAUAUUUCAUAACUGUUUACUUAGAAGGGGAAAAGAGUUGUAUUACAGAAAAGCAUCCUCCCCAAUAGUUGAAUCUAGAGCAUAUGACUGGGACCUAUAACCAAAUACCUGUGUGGCACUCAAUGGUGGCACUAUGUUUCCACAUUAACUGUGUCUUGUGGAAACCUGGGAUGUGUAGUUUUGGUGAGACAACUAGGGCUCUGGCUGAGAACUAAACAUCCCUCCUUAAAUUGCAGAUCCCAAGUUUGCAUGGGAUGGAACCAUGGCAAUUUAAGUGGAAGCAUUGCACUAUGAUUUUGUAAUUCAGUCAACCCUCCAUAUCCAUGGAUUCAACUAUCCAUGGCUUGGAAAUGCUCUCUCUCUUUCUCUCUCUCUCUCUCUCUCUCUUUCUCUCUCUCUCUUCCAAAAAGUGAACCUUGAUUUUAUGAUCCUUUAUUAAGGACACCAUUUUACCAGGCCAUUGGAUUUAAUGGGACAUGGGCAUCCAUAGAUUUUGACACCCACAGAACCAAACCCUAACGGAUACCACCAAGGGCCCACUGUAGUGUCAAAGGGCCCCAGACUUUUGACCCAAAGACUUAAAUGCAACCUGACAUUACAUGCUACAGCAGUACUUUGCUCUGAAUUGUUCCAGAAACGAAUCUCUCUCUUUGUUAAGCUGCUAGCUGGCUUGCUAGUUGAGUGGGAGCUUGUGACGUGCCAUGGCUGUAUCUUAUGAAAACCUGGGAUGUUUAGGUUGGUGUGGCAUUAGGGGUCUCUGGCUGAAAAUUUCAAAUGCCCCCUCUGCAAAUGCUGCAAAUCCCAGGUUUUCAGAGGAUGCUGCCAUGCCAAUUAAAGGGACCCUGAUAGCUAUGCCAUCCGCUGAUAACCUUACCAAGGAUAUUGCAUUCCAUUUUGUGGGUACUGGGCAUAUUAAGUUUUCAGUGGGCCUUUUUAAAAGAUGGGGGGGUUGCUUCUUAUUUUGUCCCCUUUAGGUUUUUGGUUUUGGGGGGCCGUGGGUUUAUUUUUCUCUGUUAUGUUUUUGCCAGAUGGAUGGAUGGAUAGAAGUGUUGGUGGAUAGAUGAGUGGAUGAGUGGAUGGAUGGAUAAUCUUUGGUUAUAUUAGGGUUACCUGAGCAUCCAUCCUCCUGUAUCACACUGGUCCUGUUCUGGCCACAGGUCCUUUUAGGACUCACCAGCCAAGUUUGCCAUGACAUAAAGGGCAUUUGGCGUAAAAACUCAGGAGGUGGCCGAUUUGGGUAGAUGUUUAAGAUCUGCUGAGCGAAAAUCAGACUCCUGAGAAAUCUCUAUUUUCUUUUUAACAUAGAUAUUUAAAAUAUAUAUAUAAUUUUUUUAAUGUAAGGAAAAAUGUAAACCUAAUUUAAAAAGCUUUUGUUGUUGUCACUUGAAAAGAAAUAUUUUUUACUAAUUUAACGAUUUAUGCUAGAUUUUUAAAUGGGAAAAUGUCUUAAGUGUCUCAGUACGUUCUUCUGCGCAUUUGUCCAUAGAGCUUUGCUCUAAGAUGUUCUGUUGCUUUUAUUAUUAUUCUUAUUAUUAUUUUAUGAGUUCUGCUCCAUUUUUCCCUUGUACCCAGAUGUGUAAUAUACUGCAUUUUCUUCCCUCUCUUUCUCUCUUUGUGUGUUUUCCUUUGGGACUCUUCGGCAACCAUUUGCUGUUACAUUUUGGAUGUCUCUUUUUACAUUGGAACAAAGUAUUCUAAAUGACAAAGUGUGGUCUUUUGGCUUGAAGAUCUUUAUUAAAAAAAGAAACACACAAUAGUAA
This is a long non-coding RNA of Sceloporus undulatus (fence lizard), 2883 nucleotides long. RefSeq lists it as uncharacterized. Lineage: Eukaryota; Metazoa; Chordata; Lepidosauria; Squamata; Phrynosomatidae. The transcript has 2 exons. The record is from RefSeq and is a predicted model, not a curated record.